CCUACGGGAGGCAGCAGUGGGGAAUCUUGCGCAAUGGGCGAAAGCCUGACGCAGCCAUGCCGCGUGAAUGAUGAAGGUCUUAGGAUUGUAAAAUUCUUUCACCGAGGACGAUAAUGACGGUACUCGGAGAAGAAGCCCCGGCUAACUUCGUGCCAGCAGCCGCGGUAAUACGAAGGGGGCUAGCGUUGCUCGGAAUUACUGGGCGUAAAGGGAGCGUAGGCGGAUAGUUUAGUCAGAGGUGAAAGCCCAGGGCUCAACCUUGGAAUUGCCUUUGAUACUGGCUAUCUUGAGUACGGAAGAGGUAUGUGGAACUCCGAGUGUAGAGGUGAAAUUCGUAGAUAUUCGGAAGAACACCAGUGGCGAAGGCGACAUACUGGUCCGUUACUGACGCUGAGGCUCGAAAGCGUGGGGAGCAAACAGGAUUAGAUACCCUGGUAGUCCACGCUGUAAACGAUGAGUGCUAGUUGUCGGCAUGCAUGCAUGUCGGUGACGCAGCUACGACAUAAGACACUCCGCCGUCGGGGAGGUACGGUCGCGAAGAAGUUAAAACUUAAAUAGUAAGUUAGACGGCGUGAGACGUGCCGACGGACGACGACGAGGGAGGAGG
This 607-nucleotide ribosomal RNA is filed under the name uncultured bacterium. RNAcentral describes it as "bacterial SSU rRNA". The stretch from base 1 to 517 matches the Rfam family "Bacterial small subunit ribosomal RNA", at positions 338 to 873 of the family's 1533-position model. The record is from RNAcentral.